GCUCGACGUUAAAUCUAAAAAUGUUCGUUCGGUUUUGGGUUCGAUUUACAUAAAAUUUCAAGUGACGAUCACGUUCGCUAGAGAUAAUAUGUUUAGAAAAUUGUAUUUGUAAUUUAAACACAUACAUAUGUAUACAUAGUGAGUUAUUCAGCAGCAACCGGAUUUGGUGUUUUCCACUGGACGUCCUUGAUCGAUUUUCACUUUGCUAGCGUUGUCAGUGGCGCUGGACGGCGGCCCGACGCGAUUCUUGAUCUCCGCCGCCAUCGUCAUGAAGGCCUGCUCAACGUUGGUGGCGCUCUUGGCCGAAGUUUCAAGGAAUGGAAUGCCUAACUGGGCGGCGUACUCCUGGAAUUUUGGAAACAAAGACCCAGAUUAGUAUAUACGUGCAUCUAUGAUUCCCAGGACUAAACCAGCAAUAUACGCACCGCAGCUGUGGUGUGGUCGACUACUUUCUUGGUGGUCAAGUCGCUCUUGUUGCCAACCAGCAACUUGUUGACAUUCUCACAGGCAUACCGCUCGAUCUCCUCCAGCCACUGCUUCACAUUGUUGAAAGACUCCUGGUCCGUGCAAUCGUAUACGACAAUGAUGCCAUGGGCGCCCCUAUAAUAUGAAGACGUGAUGGUGCGGAAGCGCUCCUGGCCAGCAGUAUCCCACUGUAAACAGACUAAUUAGCUCUGGACUAGAUUGCCUCUGGCGUUUUUAUGCUUACGAUUUGCAGUUUAAUGGUCUUUCCGUCGAGUUCUAUAGUCCUGAUUUUCUGCAAGAUAAAGGUUUAUGAGUCAGACAUAAAGAAUUUUCACAAAUUUCCGGUUGGCUUACGAAAUCCACUCCGAUUGUGCUGAUAUAACUUUCUGUAUAUGUGUCAUCGGCAAAUCGCAACAGAAGACAGGACUUUCCAACGCCCGAGUCUCCAAUAAGCAGCAACUUAAAGAGAUAAUCGCUGUGGAUUUGGAGAUAGUUAAUAUAGUUAAUGUUAUAAAAUAGUUAUAUAGUU
Non-coding RNA from Drosophila melanogaster (fruit fly), 994 nucleotides. NCBI's taxonomy places the organism in Eukaryota, Metazoa, Arthropoda, Insecta, Diptera, Drosophilidae. The record is from Ensembl.